UGGGGAAUAUUGGGCAAUGGGCGAAAGCCUGACCCAGCGACGCCGCGUGAGGGAAGAAGGUCUUCGGAUUGUAAACCUUUGUAGACAGGGACGAAGAAAUGACGGUACCUGUAAAGUAAGCCACGGCCAACUCCGUGCCAGCAGCCGCGGUAAUACGGAGGAUGCGAGCGUUAUCCGGAUUUAUUGGGUUUAAAGGGUGCGCAGGCGGCGGAUCAAGUCAGCGGUCAAACUUCGGGGCUCAACCCCGUUUUGCCGUUGAAACUGAUCGGCUGGAGUCUGUUCGAGGGACGCGGAAUGCGAGGUGUAGCGGUGAAAUGCAUAGAUAUCACGCAGAACUCCGAUUGCGAAGGCGGCGUCCCGGGGCGGCACUGACGCUGAGGCACGAAAGUGUGGGUAUCGAACAGGAUUAGAUACCCUGGUAG
RNAcentral lists this ribosomal RNA (422 nucleotides) under uncultured Porphyromonadaceae bacterium. RNAcentral's name for it is "bacterial SSU rRNA". It matches the Rfam family "Bacterial small subunit ribosomal RNA", at positions 355 to 793 of the family's 1533-position model. Lineage: Bacteria; Pseudomonadati; Bacteroidota; Bacteroidia; Bacteroidales; Porphyromonadaceae. The record is from RNAcentral.